RNAcentral lists this ribosomal RNA (40 nucleotides) under Coptis omeiensis. RNAcentral describes it as "partial 28S ribosomal RNA". Lineage: Eukaryota; Viridiplantae; Streptophyta; Magnoliopsida; Ranunculales; Ranunculaceae. The record is from RNAcentral.
CUGCGACCCCAGGUCAUGCGGGAUUACCCGCUGAAUUUAA